Molecule: ribosomal RNA, 587 nt
Filed under: uncultured Comamonas sp.
Lineage: Bacteria; Pseudomonadati; Pseudomonadota; Betaproteobacteria; Burkholderiales; Comamonadaceae
Description: bacterial SSU rRNA
Rfam family: Bacterial small subunit ribosomal RNA
Source: RNAcentral
CCUACGGGAGGCAGCAGUGGGNANUUUNGACAAUGGGGCGAAAGCCUGAUCCAGCAGUGCCGCGUGCAGGAUGAAGGCCCUCGGGUUGUAAACUGCUUUUGUACGGAACGAAAAGCCUGGGGCUAAUAUCCCCGGGUCAUGACGGUACCGUAAGAAUAAGCACCGGCUAACUACGUGCCAGCAGCCGCGGUAAUACGUAGGGUGCAAGCGUUAAUCGGAAUUACUGGGCGUAAAGCGUGCGCAGGCGGUUUUGUAAGACAGUGGUGAAAUCCCCGGGCUCAACCUGGGAACUGCCAUUGUGACUGCAAGGCUAGAGUGCGGCAGAGGGGGAUGGAAUUCCGCGUGUAGCAGUGAAAUGCGUAGAUAUGCGGAGGAACACCGAUGGCGAAGGCAAUCCCCUGGGCCUGCACUGACGCUCAUGCACGAAAGCGUGGGGAGCAAACAGGAUUAGAUACCCUGGUAGUCCACGCCCUAAACGAUGUCAACUGGUUGUUGGGUCUUAACUGACUCAGUAACGAAGCUAACGCGUGAAGUUGACCGCCUGGGGAGUACGGCCGCAAGGUUGAAACUCAAAUGAAUUGACGGGG